GGCCUACCAUGGUGGUAANGGGUAACGGGGUGUUAGGGCACGACACCGGAGAGGGAGCCUGAGAAACGGCUACCACAUCCAAGGAUGGCAGCAGGCGCGCAAAUUACCCAAUCCCGACACGGGGAGGUAGUGACAAUAAAUAACAAUACGGGGUUCUUUCGGAUUUCGUAAUUGGAAUGAGUACAAUUUAAAUCUCUUAACGAGGAACAAUUGGAGGGCAAGUCUGGUGCCAGCAGCCGCGGUAAUUCCAGCUCUAAUAGCGUAUAUUAAAAUUGCUGCAGUUAAAAAGCUCGUAGUUGAAUUUCGGGACCAAUAUGUCGGUCGAGCCUCGGUACGUACUGGCAUCGUUGGUUUCUCCCUUCUGAAGAACCAUGAUGUCAUUUAUUUGGUGUCGUGGGGAAUCAGGACUGUUACUUUGAAAAAAUUAGAGUGUUUAAAGCAGGCUCACGCUUGAAUACAUUAGCAUGGAAUAAUGAAAUAGGACGUUUGAUUCUAUUUUGUUGGUUUCUAGGAUCGACGUAAUGAUUAAUAGGGAUAGUUGGGGGCAUUAGUAUUCAAUUGUCAGAGGUGAAAUUCUUGGAUUUAUUGAAGACUAACUACUGCGAAAGCAUUUGCCAAGGAUGUUUACAUUAAUCAAGAACGAAAGUUAGGGGAUCGAAGACGAUCAGAUACCGUCGUAGUCUUAACCAUAAACUAUGCCGACUAGGGAUCGGAUGAUGUUAAUUUUUUAAUGACUCAUUCGGCGCCUUACGGGAAACCAAAGUGUUUGGGUUC
RNAcentral lists this ribosomal RNA (774 nucleotides) under uncultured Glomus. RNAcentral's name for it is "SSU rRNA". It matches the Rfam family "Eukaryotic small subunit ribosomal RNA", at positions 338 to 1114 of the family's 1831-position model. Lineage: Eukaryota; Fungi; Glomeromycota; Glomeromycetes; Glomerales; Glomeraceae. The record is from RNAcentral.